UAGGGAAUCUUCGGCAAUGGACGGAAGUCUGACCGAGCAACGCCGCGUGAGUGAAGAAGGUUUUCGGAUCGUAAAGCUCUGUUGUAAGAGAAGAACGAGUGUGAGAGUGGAAAGCUCACACUGUGACGGUAUCUUACCAGAAAGGGACGGCUAACUACGUGCCAGCAGCCGCGGUAAUACGUAGGUCUCGAGCGUUGUCCGGAUUUAUUGGGCGUAAAGCGAGCGCAGGCGGUUAGAUAAGUCUGAAGUUAAAGGCUGUGGCUUAACCAUAGUACGCUUUGGAAACUGUUUAACUUGAGUGCAAGAGGGGAGAGUGGAAUUCCAUGUGUAGCGGUGAAAUGCGUAGAUAUAUGGAGGAACACCGGUGGCGAAAGCGGCUCUCUGGCUUGUAACUGACGCUGAGGCUCGAAAGCGUGGGGAGCAAACAGGAUUAGAUACCCUGGUAGUCCACGCCGUAAACGAUGAGUGCUAGGUGUUAGACCCUUUCCGGGGUUUAGUGCCGCAGCUAACGCAUUAAGCACUCCGCCUGGGGAGUACGACCGCAAGGUUG
RNAcentral lists this ribosomal RNA (550 nucleotides) under uncultured bacterium. RNAcentral describes it as "bacterial SSU rRNA". It matches the Rfam family "Bacterial small subunit ribosomal RNA", at positions 355 to 896 of the family's 1533-position model. The record is from RNAcentral.